UGCAAGUCGAACGAGAAAGUGGAGCAAUCCAUGAGUAAAGUGGCGCACGGGUGAGUAACACGUGACUAACCUACCCUGGAGUGGGGGAUAACUGAGGGAAACCUUAGCUAAUACCGCAUAACAUCUACGGGUCAAAGGAGCAAUUCGCUUCUGGAGGGGGUCGCGGCCGAUUAGUUAGUUGGCAGGGUAAUGGCCUACCAGACGAUGAUCGGUAUCCGGCCUGAGAGGGCGCACGGCACACACUGGAA
This 248-nucleotide ribosomal RNA is filed under the name uncultured Acidobacteriota bacterium. Its description in RNAcentral is "uncultured Acidobacteria bacterium partial 16S ribosomal RNA". It matches the Rfam family "Bacterial small subunit ribosomal RNA", at positions 56 to 318 of the family's 1533-position model. The record is from RNAcentral. Lineage: Bacteria; Pseudomonadati; Acidobacteriota.